Molecule: ribosomal RNA, 530 nt
Filed under: uncultured bacterium
Lineage: Bacteria
Description: partial 16S ribosomal RNA
Rfam family: Bacterial small subunit ribosomal RNA
Source: RNAcentral
GACGAACGCUGGCGGCGUGCCUAAUACAUGCAAGUCGAACGAACUCUGGUAAUGAUUGGUGCUUGCAUCAUGAAUUACAUUUGAGUGAGUGGCGAACUGGUGAGUAACACGUGGGAAACCUGCCCAGAAGCGGGGGAUAACACCUGGAAACAGAUGCUAAUACCGCAUAACAACUUGGACCGCAUGGUCCGAGUUUGAAAGAUGGCUUCGGCUGUCACUGUUGGAUGGUCCCGCGGCGUAUUAGCUAGAUGGUGAGGUAACGGCUCACCAUGGAAAUGAUACGUAGCCGACCUGAGAGGGUAAUCGGCCACAUUGGGACUGAGACACGGCCCAAACUCCUACGGGAGGCAGCAGUAGGGAAUCUUCCACAAUGGACGAAAGUCUGAUGGAGCAACGCCGCGUGAGUGAAGAAGGGUUUCGGCUCGUAAAACUCUGUUGUUAAAGAAGAACAUAUCUGAGAGUAACUGUUCAGGUAUUGACGGUAUUUAACCAGAAAGCCACGGCUAACUACGUGCCAGCCGCCGCGGUAA